AGAAUCAACGCUGGCGGCGUGCCUAACACAUGCAAGUCGAACGAGAAAGUGGAGCAAUCCAUGAGUACAGUGGCGCACGGGUGAGUAACACGUGACUACCUACCCUCGAGUGGGGAAUAACCUCGGGAAACCGGGGCUAAUACCGCAUAACAUCUACGGAUCAAAUGCGAAAGCAGCUUGAGGAGGGGGUCGCGGCCGAUUAGCUAGUUGGUGAGGUAAUGGCCCACCAAGGCAAUGAUCGGUAGCCGGCCUGAGAGGGCGCACGGCCACACUGGAACUGAAACACGGUCCAGACUCCUACGGGAGGCAGCAGUGGGGAAUUUUGCGCAAUGGGGGAAACCCUGACGCAGCAACGCCGCGUGGAGGAUGAAGCCCCUUGGGGUGUAAACUCCUUUCGAUCGGGACGAUUAUGACGGUACCGGAAGAAGAAGCACCGGCUAACUCUGUGCCAGCAGCCGC
RNAcentral lists this ribosomal RNA (459 nucleotides) under uncultured bacterium. Its description in RNAcentral is "SSU rRNA". It matches the Rfam family "Bacterial small subunit ribosomal RNA", at positions 26 to 518 of the family's 1533-position model. The record is from RNAcentral.